CAGUCGCCGCGGUAAUACGUAUGUCACAAGCGUUAUCCGGAUUUAUUGGGCGUAAAGCGCGUCUAGGUGGUUAUGUAAGUCUGAUGUGAAAAUGCAGGGCUCAACUCUGUAUUGCGUUGGAAACUGUGUAACUAGAGUACUGGAGAGGUAAGCGGAACUACAAGUGUAGAGGUGAAAUUCGUAGAUAUUUGUAGGAAUGCCGAUGGGGAAGCCAGCUUACUGGACAGAUACUGACGCUAAAGCGCGAAAGCGUGGGUAGCAAACGGGAUUAGAUACCCGCGUAGUCCCUGUCUCUUAUACA
RNAcentral lists this ribosomal RNA (301 nucleotides) under uncultured bacterium. Its description in RNAcentral is "partial 16S ribosomal RNA". It matches the Rfam family "Bacterial small subunit ribosomal RNA", at positions 509 to 808 of the family's 1533-position model. The record is from RNAcentral.